RNAcentral lists this ribosomal RNA (363 nucleotides) under Austinixa gorei. Its description in RNAcentral is "partial 12S ribosomal RNA". Lineage: Eukaryota; Metazoa; Arthropoda; Malacostraca; Decapoda; Pinnotheridae. The record is from RNAcentral.
UAUUAUUCUUAAAUAUAGUUAUCCCUGGGUUAGUAGUAGAUAUUUACUUAAAAACUAAAAAAUUUGGCGGUAAUUUAAUCUUUCCAGAGGAACUUGUUUUUUAAUCGAUAACCCCCGAAGAAUCUUACUUGUUUAGGUAAAAAGUUUGUAUACCAUCAUUAUCAGGUAAUUUCCAAAGAAGUAAUUUCUAAAUUUAAAAUGUAUAUAAAAAUUAGAUCAUGGUGCAGCUGAUAGGCAAGUUAAAAUGAGUUACAAUAAAGUUUUUUAUACGGACAGUUAAGGAAGCAAAGCUAUGAAGGAGGAUUUGGUAGUAUCAAAAAUUUAAUAUGUUUUUGAGAUGAUAGCUCUAAAUUAUGUACAUAU